Lacerta agilis (Sand lizard) is the source of this 643-nucleotide long non-coding RNA. RefSeq lists it as uncharacterized. The record is from RefSeq and is a predicted model, not a curated record. The transcript has 6 exons. NCBI's taxonomy places the organism in Eukaryota, Metazoa, Chordata, Lepidosauria, Squamata, Lacertidae.
AACAUCAAAGCAGCCCAAGUAGACCCCACUGUUGGUGGUGUAGGAAAGUAGAGCAUCUGUGUUGCACAGAAGUUCUCAGGUCUAGCAUCUCCAGGAUGGAUCUUGACUGACUUCAUGAAGGAUUCACUCAGCUGCAAAAUGAUGAACCAACCCCAGACAUAUAAAUGAAUUGAAAAGACGACACCGUCCCCCCCUUGAUGAAUGGGAGAAGGAGGUGGAGCUACGUAAAGACCGACGUCGCUGAUCAUUGGUGCCUCGCGGUUCCCACUUUCGCUUGCAACUCCCUCCUUCCUCUCCAACUAAGGGUGCGCAAAACCUUUCUUCUCUCCUGAUUGGCCAGCUCAGCUCAUCAAUCCCAGCUGCUCCCAGAAAGCAAGAAAAGAAGAAAUGAAGGAUGACCGCCUCGAUGAAGUCGCCCAAGAGGAACCAAGUUAGAAAAUAAGGCACAAGGUUCCCCUUGUAAUGAGGAAAAGAAAACGACUUUACAGAAACCUUCUGGGACAGUCAAAAAUCUUAACCACAUCUUUUCCAGUUCGUGCCUGAGGUCACUGGAAGCAACACAACACGCCAUUGGGCGGCAAUCCUGCCGACACUUAAGCAGACAUAAUUGUCGCUGGUGUCAGUGGGAGACAGAGGGCAGAAU